RNAcentral lists this ribosomal RNA (484 nucleotides) under uncultured bacterium. RNAcentral describes it as "partial 16S ribosomal RNA". It matches the Rfam family "Bacterial small subunit ribosomal RNA", at positions 356 to 825 of the family's 1533-position model. The record is from RNAcentral.
UGGGAAUUUUGGACAAUGGGCGCAAGCCUGAUCCAGCCAUGCCGCGUGCGGGAAGAAGGCCUUCGGGUUGUAAACCGCUUUUGUCAGGGAAGAAAUCUUCUGAGUUAAUACCUCGGGAGGAUGACGGUACCUGAAGAAUAAGCACCGGCUAACUACGUGCCAGCAGCCGCGGUAAUACGUAGGGUGCAAGCGUUAAUCGGAAUUACUGGGCGUAAAGCGUGCGCAGGCGGUUUUGUAAGACAGAGGUGAAAUCCCCGGGCUCAACCUGGGAACUGCCUUUGUGACUGCAAGGCUUGAGUGCGGCAGAGGGGGGAUGGAAUUCCGCGUGUAGCAGUGAAAAUGCGUAGAUAUGCGGAGGAAACACCGAUGGCGAAGGCAAUCCCCCUGGGCCUGCACUGACGCUCAUGCACGAAAAGCGUGGGGAGCAAAACAGGAUUAGAUACCCUGGUAGUCCACGCCCUAAAACGAUGUCAAACUGGUUGUU